AUGAAAUCUCUGCUGCUUUUCCUGUCCCUGUUCUCUGCCCCCUCCUGUGUCCUCUCCCAGGUGCAGCUGGUCCAGACCGGCCCGGGAGUGGUGAAGCCUGGAGAGACCCUCACCCUGACCUGCGCGGUCUCGGGUUACUCCAUUACCAGUGGUUACAGUUGGAGCUGGAUCCGGCAGCCUCCCGGGACAGGGCUGGAGUGGCUGGGGCGGGGAUAUUACAGCGGUUCCACCUGGAACACGAACUACGCCUCAUCUUUCCAGAGCCGAAUCACCAUCUCCACUGACUCCUCCAAGAACCAGUUCUCCCUGCAGCUCCGCUCGCUGACAGCUGCAGACACCAGCACCUAUUACUGCGCCAAACACAGUACUGAACUGAUUUACCUUCUGAUGUCUUAAUUCAGGCCGUGGAAAUUCUCCCUGCUGACUUUCUCAUCCCAUAUUCUGUUAAAAGGCCGAGUCACCAUGUCUGCAGGCACUGUCAAGAGCCAGGUCUCCCUGCAGCGCCGCUCGCUGAGAGCUGCAGACACCGCCACCUAUUACUGCGCCAGGAGGCCCCCACAGUGA
Non-coding RNA from Chrysemys picta bellii (western painted turtle), 564 nucleotides. The record is from the annotation of a RefSeq genome assembly. Lineage: Eukaryota; Metazoa; Chordata; Testudines; Emydidae.